Molecule: long non-coding RNA, 771 nt
Organism: Sorghum bicolor (sorghum)
Lineage: Eukaryota; Viridiplantae; Streptophyta; Magnoliopsida; Poales; Poaceae
Exons: 3
Source: RefSeq, a predicted model, not a curated record
GCUGCCCGACCCCGACCCCGUGCGCCGCCUCCGACCCUGACCCCGCGCGCCCCAGCCCGUCACGCAGCCGCGCCGCCCCGACCCCGCGCCGCCCAGCCCCGCACGCAGCCGCGCCGCCCCAACCCGGCGCGCCGCCUGCCCAGCCGCGCCCAGCGCCGCCUGCCGAAAUUUCGUGGUGAAGCACCUCGCCAAGGUCUUCGUGGACGGCCUCCUCGAGGUCGUGGACCUCACGCUCGUCCCCUACGGCAACGCUCGGAUCCACGCCGGCGGAGUGAUCUCGUGCCAGAUGAAAUGGUAGGGUCCUCUGAGGACGAACCAUGCUCAGGAGACAGACGCCACUGACCUGGGUCAGGAGCACAGCUCACGGUUGGCUGACCGUGAGCUCAAGGAGAUGCUGCUGAAGAAGUACAGUGGCUGUCUGAGCCGGCUGCGGUCCGAGUUCCUGAAGAAGAGGAAGAAAGGGAAGCUACCGAAGGAUGCUCGGUCGGCGCUGAUGGACUGGUGGAACACGCAUUACUGCUGGCCGUACCCUACGGAUCGCACGGCGUGCUAUGCACACCUAGACCGUCGCUGGGAUCGCAAGCUGGGGCGUCCCAACCCUCGCCGGAAUCGCACACUGGACAGUCGUCGUGAGCUGCCUUGGGAGUUGUUUUUAUGUAUUAAACUUGUGAAGUUGGAAUAAUAUGCACUCUUGAACGUGUGGUUUGUAAUAUAUUUUGAAUUUCGUAUAAAUUUGGUCAUUUGUGAUAUAUAUAAAUGUGGUUUGUGAUA